UAGUAACGGCGAGUGAAGAGGGAAGAGCCCAGCGCCGAAGCCUGCAGCCGCUUGGCUGUUAGGCAAUGUGGUGUUUGGGUCGGCUCGCGGGAUUGCCACUCCACUCGAAGUCCAGCAUUGAGUAUGGUCACUGGAUUUGUCCCAGAGAGGGUGAAAGGCCCGUACGGGUGGAGGUUCAGACAUGUAAGGCAGUUCACCAGGCCGGCCCGAGAGUCGGGUUGUUUGAGAAUGCAGCCCAAAGAGGGUGGUAAACUCCAUCCAAGGCUAAAUACGUGCACGAGUCCGAUAGCGAACAAGUACCGUGAGGGAAAGUUGAAAAGUACUCUGAAGAGAGAGUAAACAGUACGUGAAGCCGCAUGCAGGUAAACGGGUGGCGUCAAGCUGCAGGUUCGGAGAAAUCAGCUGACUGGGUGCUUUGCCUGAUGUAGCCGGUUGAGUAGUCCGUUGGAAGUGGUGGGUCUGGUCGUGAGGCCAGAUGUGUGUACCGGGUGGUUGCCGGAGCAUGCUACUCGUCUGAAUGGCUGCCUAGUCAGUGCACUUUCUCUGUGACUAGCACCACGACCGGUGGGAUCGCCAGUCUGCCAUGGCCGAGUCGUGCCUGCGAUGGUCUUUCGGCCAUCUGGGUGCGAUCACAGGCAAACUCAGUGUACGGCGCAGAGGUGCUCUGGUGUCUUUGCGUGCAAUCGGCUACUGGUUGUGAACGGGUCUGCCCGGUGGUUGUUGUAGCCGCUGCCGGGUGAUCCGGUGGACCAUGGUGGUAUGAAUAACUGUGCGAGGCACCGAGAGCUUCGGCCUCAAAUGCAGUCCGCAUGCACGUUGCAAGUGGAGGGGGGCAGGGGUGCCGCCUGCUCACUGUUGGGUCUGACUGCUGUGUUGCCUGCAAAAAGUGGGCCCGGUGGUGGCCUGAUGUGAGGUUGGUGGUGCUUGGCGCUUCCUGUGUGGGUUGCAGUGGGCCGGAAAGUCUGUGGUGUGGUGGUAGACCAGCCACCUGACCCGUCUUGAAACACGGACCAAGGAGUUUAACAUGUGUGCGAGUCAAAGGGUCCUACGAAACCCCGAGGCGCAGUGAAAGUGAGGCUUCGAUAAUUUCUCGAAGUAAGGUGGGAUCCUGUCGUUACUCGCAGCAGCCUAUGCUAGCAUCGGGCUAAGAGCGGUGGGCGCACCACCGGCCCGUCUCAUGAUGUGGCCACCGGGUGGCUGUGAUCGCUGUUUGCUUUUGGCGUCGUCAGCGUUCGCGGAGCC
This 1242-nucleotide ribosomal RNA is filed under the name Spiniloculus mavensis. RNAcentral describes it as "eukaryotic LSU rRNA". It matches the Rfam family "Eukaryotic large subunit ribosomal RNA", at positions 81 to 796 of the family's 3401-position model. The record is from RNAcentral. Lineage: Eukaryota; Metazoa; Platyhelminthes; Cestoda; Tetraphyllidea; Onchobothriidae.